This 467-nucleotide ribosomal RNA is filed under the name uncultured bacterium. RNAcentral's name for it is "partial 16S ribosomal RNA". It matches the Rfam family "Bacterial small subunit ribosomal RNA", at positions 28 to 507 of the family's 1533-position model. The record is from RNAcentral.
GACGAACGCUGGCGGCGUGCUUAACACAUGCAAGUCGAACGGAAAGGCCUCUUUCGGGGGGUACUCGAGUGGCGAACGGGUGAGUAACACGUGAGUAACCUGCCCUUGACUUUGGGAUAACUUCAGGAAACUGGGGCUAAUACCGGAUAGGAGCUCCUGCUGCAUGGUGGGGGUUGGAAAGUUUCGGCGGUUGGGGAUGGACUCGCGGCUUAUCAGCUUGUUGGUGGGGUAGUGGCUCACCAAGGCUUUGACGGGUAGCCGGCCUGAGAGGGUGACCGGCCACAUUGGGACUGAGAUACGGCCCAGACUCCUACGGGAGGCAGCAGUGGGGAAUAUUGCACAAUGGGUGGAAGCCUGAUGCAGUAACGCCGUGUGCGGGAUGACGGCCUUCGGGUUGUAAACCGCUUUCGCUCAUGACGAAGCUUUGUGUGACGGUAGUGGGUAAAGAAGCACCGGCUAACUACGUG